CGGGGCGUAGCGCAGCCUGGUUAGCGCGCAAGCUUUGGGUGCUUGAGGUCCCCGGUUCGAAUCCGGGCGCCCCGA
This 75-nucleotide transfer RNA is filed under the name Solirubrobacterales bacterium. RNAcentral's name for it is "tRNA-Pro". It matches the Rfam family "tRNA". From Rfam's summary of the family: Transfer RNA (tRNA) molecules are approximately 80 nucleotides in length. Their secondary structure includes four short double-helical elements and three loops (D, anti-codon, and T loops). Further hydrogen bonds mediate the characteristic L-shaped molecular structure. tRNAs have two regions of fundamental functional importance: the anti-codon, which is responsible for specific mRNA codon recognition, and the 3' end, to which the tRNAs corresponding amino acid is attached (by aminoacyl-tRNA synthetases). tRNAs cope with the degeneracy of the genetic code in two manners: having more than one tRNA (with a specific anti-codon) for a particular amino acid; and 'wobble' base-pairing, i.e. permitting non-standard base-pairing at the 3rd anti-codon position. The record is from RNAcentral. RNAcentral also lists the same sequence under 2 other names. Lineage: Bacteria; Bacillati; Actinomycetota; Thermoleophilia; Solirubrobacterales.